This 497-nucleotide ribosomal RNA is filed under the name uncultured bacterium. RNAcentral's name for it is "partial 16S ribosomal RNA". It matches the Rfam family "Bacterial small subunit ribosomal RNA", at positions 28 to 507 of the family's 1533-position model. The record is from RNAcentral.
GAUGAACGCUGGCGGCGUGCCUAAUACAUGCAAGUCGAGCGAACAGACGAGGAGCUUGCUCCUCUGACGUUAGCGGCGGACGGGUGAGUAACACGUGGAUAACCUACCUAUAAGACUGGGAUAACUUCGGGAAACCGGAGCUAAUACCGGAUAAUAUAUUGAACCGCAUGGUUCAAUAGUGAAAGACGGUUUUGCUGUCACUUAUAGAUGGAUCCGCGCCGCAUUAGCUAGUUGGUAAGGUAAUGGCUUACAAAGGCAACGAUGCGUAGCCGACCUGAGAGGGUGAUCGGCCACACUGGAACUGAGACACGGUCCAGACUCCUACGGGAGGCAGCAGUAGGGAAUCUUCCGCAAUGGGCGAAAGCCUGACGGAGCAACGCCGCGUGAGUGAUGAAGGUCUUCGGAUCGUAAAACUCUGUUAUUAGGGAAGAACAAAUGUGUAAGUAACUAUGCACGUCUUGACGGUACCUAAUCAGAAAGCCACGGCUAACUACGUG